UGGGGAAUAUUGGACAAUGGACCAAGAGUCUGAUCCAGCAAUUCUGUGUGCACGAUGACGUUUUUCGGAAUGUAAAGUGCUUUCAGUUGGGAAGAAAAAAAUGACGGUACCAACAGAAGAAGUGACGGCUAAAUACGUGCCAGCAGCCGCGGUAAUACGUAUGUCACAAGCGUUAUCCGGAUUUAUUGGGCGUAAAGCGCGUCUAGGUGGUUAUGUAAGUCUGAUGUGAAAAUGCAGGGCUCAACUCUGUAUUGCGUUGGAAACUGUGUAACUAGAGUACUGGAGAGGUAAGCGGAACUACAAGUGUAGAGGUGAAAUUCGUAGAUAUUUGUAGGAAUGCCGAUGGGGAAGCCAGCUUACUGGACAGAUACUGACGCUGAAGCGCGAAAGCGUGGGUAGCAAACAGGAUUAGAUACCCUGGUAGUCCACGCCGUAAACGAUGAUUACUAGGUGUUGGGGGUCGAACCUCAGCGCCCAAGCAAACGCGAUAAGUAAUCCGCCUGGGGAGUACGUACGCAAGUAUG
RNAcentral lists this ribosomal RNA (524 nucleotides) under uncultured bacterium. RNAcentral describes it as "bacterial SSU rRNA". It matches the Rfam family "Bacterial small subunit ribosomal RNA", at positions 355 to 896 of the family's 1533-position model. The record is from RNAcentral.